Molecule: long non-coding RNA, 221 nt
Filed under: Homo sapiens (human)
Lineage: Eukaryota; Metazoa; Chordata; Mammalia; Primates; Hominidae
Description: HSALNT0054878
Source: RNAcentral
GGGACUCUAAUAACCCAAGAUCCUCAACUCCCACUAUGGAAGCAUGCGCCCCUGGCUGAAGACCCUACUGUAGGAAGCUGCCGGUAGGACUUCAGUGAGCAGUAGCCUCAGGUGAAUAGGGUGGGAAGGCAAGUCAAUGUUCCUGAGAAUUUGGGGCAACCAUUAUCUUCUUUUUGACAAGUGCAAACUGGCUCAAGCAGAGGGCUCAAAUACCCCAUCGG